CACUCUAGAGAGACUGCCAGGGAUAACCUGGAGGAAGGUGGGGAUGACGUCAAAUCAUCAUGCCCCUUAUGCUUAGGGCUACACACGUGCUACAAUGGGUAGUACAGAGGGUUGCCAAGCCGUAAGGUGGAGCUAAUCCCUUAAAGCUACUCUCAGUUCGGAUUGUAGGCUGAAACUCGCCUACAUGAAGCUGGAGUUACUAGUAAUCGCAGAUCAGAAGGCUGCGGUGAAUGCGUUCCCGGGUCUUGUACACACCGCCCGUCACACCACGGGAGUUGGAGACGCCCGAAGCCGAUUAUCUAACCUUUUGGAAGAAGUCGUCGAAGGUGGAAUCAAUAACUGGGGUGAAGUCGUAACAAGGUAGCCGUAUCGGAAGGUGCGGCUGGAUCACCUCCUUUCUAAGGAGA
Molecule: ribosomal RNA, 407 nt
Filed under: Clostridioides difficile
Lineage: Bacteria; Bacillati; Bacillota; Clostridia; Peptostreptococcales; Peptostreptococcaceae
Description: bacterial SSU rRNA
Rfam family: Bacterial small subunit ribosomal RNA
Source: RNAcentral